This 343-nucleotide unclassified non-coding RNA is filed under the name Hevea brasiliensis (rubber tree). Lineage: Eukaryota; Viridiplantae; Streptophyta; Magnoliopsida; Malpighiales; Euphorbiaceae. The record is from RNAcentral.
GAGUUUUCCGCGAGUCAUAAUGAGCUAACGGGAGAACUUCCAGACACAUUAGUGCAGCUAGGGCAGUUAGGAACCCUUGAUCUUAGUUUCAAUGAGCUAUCAGGGAAAAUCCCCUUGGGAAUUCACACAAUGAAGCAACUCAGUGAGCUUGACUUGGCAAACAAUGGAUUUUCUGGGGAAAUUCCGGAGCAAAUUGGGACUUUGCCAGUGCUUAAUUAUCUUGAUCUUUCUGGGAAUUACUUCUCAGGGGAAAUCCCACUUAGUCUGCAAAGCUUGAAGCUUAAUAAGCUAAAUUUGUCUAACAAUCAGCUGUCAGGGAUGAUUCCUGCAGUUUUUGAUAAGG